Molecule: long non-coding RNA, 558 nt
Filed under: Homo sapiens (human)
Lineage: Eukaryota; Metazoa; Chordata; Mammalia; Primates; Hominidae
Description: non-protein coding lnc-IFT80-4:1
Source: RNAcentral
GAGAAAUCUCCCAGCGGCAGCUUCAAGCCCGGACUUCGCCGCUCGGGCUCAAGGCCUCUAUUUUCCAGGCGCUCGCGGACAAGGCAGGAAGUAAGAGCGUGACAACCUGACCAGGAAGAGAAGUACUUUACCUGCAGGACAGUCCACUCAGACCAAGGCUGGAGACGGUUGUGUAGUACCCACCUCCCCGCUCCUACCGGUGUUUCGGCUCCGGGUCCUUCACUCGAAAAUGGCGCCUAAAAUACAAACUCGAACGGAAAUUCGUUACAAAUGCGCGCAAUGAUUUCUGGGAUCCACUAAUUUGAAAAAAAGUGCGGCGAUUAUCACCGCCAUCUUAUUGUCGCUCCUGCGCAUGCGCGAACUCCUGGCGGGACCUACGCGGUAGAAGUUUCUACUAAGUGAAAAGGAAGAGCGAGGGAUUCUUUUCUCUGUGGUCUACAGCAGCAGCACUAUUAUUAAAAAUAUUUGGAAAGACAACCUGGCAAGUUUUGAAAAAGAUUUUUUUAAAAACGUAAAUACAAUCAAGUGGCAUCUUAAAUUUUUGCUGGAAGUGGAGUC